UAGGGAAUCUUCGGCAAUGGACGAAAGUCUGACCGAGCAACGCCGCGUGAGUGAAGAAGGUUUUCGGAUCGUAAAACUCUGUUGUUAGAGAAGAACAAGGACGUUAGUAACUGAACGUCCCCUGACGGUAUCUAACCAGAAAGCCACGGCUAACUACGUGCCAGCAGCCGCGGUAAUACGUAGGUGGCAAGCGUUGUCCGGAUUUAUUGGGCGUAAAGCGAGGGCAGGCGGUUUCUUAAGUCUGAUGUGAAAGCCCCCGGCUCAACCGGGGAGGGUCAUUGGAAACUGGGAGACUUGAGUGCAGAAGAGGAGAGUGGAAUUCCAUGGGUAGCGGUGAAAUGCGUAGAUAUAUGGAGGAACACCAGUGGCGAAGGCGGCUCUCUGGUCUGUAACUGACGCUGAGGCUCGAAAGCGUGGGGAGCAAACAGG
Molecule: ribosomal RNA, 429 nt
Filed under: Gemmatimonadota bacterium
Lineage: Bacteria; Pseudomonadati; Gemmatimonadota
Description: Gemmatimonadetes bacterium partial 16S ribosomal RNA
Rfam family: Bacterial small subunit ribosomal RNA
Source: RNAcentral